RNAcentral lists this ribosomal RNA (231 nucleotides) under uncultured bacterium. Its description in RNAcentral is "partial 16S ribosomal RNA". It matches the Rfam family "Bacterial small subunit ribosomal RNA", at positions 99 to 334 of the family's 1533-position model. The record is from RNAcentral.
CGGACGGGUGAGUAAUGUCUGGGAAACUGCCUGAUGAGGGGGAUAACUACUGGAAACGGUAGCUAAUACCGCAUAACGUCGCAAGACCAAAGAGGGGGACCUUCGGGCCUCUUGCCAUCGGAUGUGCCCAGAUGGGAUUAGCUAGUAGGUGGGGUAACGGCUCACCUAGGCGACGAUCCCUAGCUGGUCUGAGAGGAUGACCAGCCACACUGGAACUGAGACACGGUCCAG